CUUCUUCCUCCUUAUCAAGAAACAAUAGGCAUUUGGAAGCCAAAAUACAAUCUGUUUAAAUCUUUGAGUAGCAAGAGAAACAGGAACAUCUUUCAAACUAUAGAAAGGCAUACCAUCAAUCUUUCUUGUGACUUCCAGGUGAGCAAACUUUUUCUAGCCCUUUGCCAAGAGGUCCAAGACAGUCAUAAAUAUCGCUUUUCUUCUUGGGUGAGACAUCACUUCUCUUGUCGGGUGACAAUACAGGGCCACCAGAUUCUUUCUUAUGGUGAAUCGUAUCGAUAAGGGCCUCAAACUCUUCCUUUGCACGCUCAAACACGUUAGGACCUUUGAAAUCAUCAAUGGGUGUGUUGGCAUCAAAAUCAUCACUCCUCCCAUGAGUUUCCCUACGGUGCUUAUGUGGAGACUUCAUUCGCUCAGCUCCUUCUUUGUGUUCCUUUCUUACUUCUACUUUUGGUGGCGUCACAUUGUUCUUGCCACCACUUGCAAGGCCACUGGAUUCUUUCUUAGGGUGAAUCGUAUCAAUAAAGGCCUCAAACUCUUCCUUUGCUCGCUCAAAUACGUUGGGACCUUUGAAAUCACCAAUGGGCGUGUUCUCAUCAAAAUCAUCGCUCAUCCCAUGAGUUUCCCUAUGGUGCUUAUAUGGAGACUUCUUUCUGUCCUUUACUUCUCUUUGUUCCCUUGACCCCACACUGUCCUUGCCUGCAGUUAUGCAAUAUGAUUAAUUCAACACACUAUCUAAGCAUGUCAAAGAUAUUUGGAUAGAGAUCAAGAUACAUUAACCAACAACAUAAAAACUACUUUGAAAUUUUUUUAAUUGCAAUAACUAACAGUAAUUAAGAAGUUGAUCCUCCAACGGUGAUAUCUAGUUACACCUGCAAUAGAAAAUAGAUGAUAAAAUUUAUAAUCUUUAGGUGCUUGCCUGAUUGUGUUCUUGAUCAUUCCUCGCCACCAGUGGUGGAGCGAGGAAUUCAACAACCAAAUUCCUAACUCAAAACUGGCUGGACAAAUUUUUCUUUAAACAAAAUAUAUUAAAAAACAAAGUAAAGCAGAAGGAUCUUCCUCAAAUUCAUUAUUAUUAAUUAAAAAGUAAAAAAAAAGUAUGAUUAAUUAUAAUAAAAACAACAAAAUAUGAUAAUGAAAAGAUAAAGCAUACAUUUAUUUAGUCCAAUAAAAUAAAUUGAUAUACAAUAAUAUUAGAAGAAAAUAGUGCAAGUAUGACAUAAAAAAAAUGACAAUUAAAAUCAAUAUAUAACACCAAGUUCUAUGCAUAAAAUGUCCCCUGCCUCUAGGGUGGUCCCACCCUGCUUGAGACCUUGCAUAGUUCUAUCAGUUUUUGAAGAAAGACAGGAAUGUGGCGAUGGACUUGCCCUAAUUGAGGUUUCUAACAUGCAAUUCUCAAGAAAAAAAAAAAAAAAAGAAACAAGUUCUUAUAAAGCUUGGAUUUGAAGCAUUAUGAAAGAAACACAAUGCGCUAAGUUUCUACAAAAACCACUCCCAAUAUUUAUGCUGAAAACAUUAAAUUUCGUCAAAUCAUAUAUAGCCAUAUGCUGCAUUUAUUCUCAGAAUCAUAUACAUCACCAUAAAAAAUCGAAGGAUUUCUCCAGAAACCUGGGAAAGAGNNNNNNNNNNNNNNNNNNNNNNNNNNNNNNNNNNNNNNNNNNNNNNNNNNNNNNNNNNNNNNNNNNNNNNNNNNNNNNNNNNNNNNNNNNNNNNNNNNNNNNNNNNNNNNNNNNNNNNNNNNNNNNNNNNNNNNNNNNNNNNNNNNNNNNNNNNNNNNNNNNNNNNNNNNNNNNNNNNNNNNNNNNNNNNNNNNNNNNNNNNNNNNNNNNNNNNNNNNNNNNNNNNNNNNNNNNNNNNNNNNNNNNNNNNNNNNNNNNNNNNNNCUUUCCAAGACCCACAAGUUCAAUAAAAGCACCCAAUAUUAAUUUGAGUCUCUCAUGACCUCUGUAAUGGAUGGAUUUACAGGACUUGAUCAAAAUAGUUUGUGCAGUGAGAGUGAGCUUGAAGCUCUUUUUGCAGCAGCAAGUGAUGAGAACAUAGCCCAUGAAGUGAGUUUAAAGAAAGAGGCUAUAGUUGUGGUGGAUGAUGAAGAGGUGCCACAGCCUUUGAAGGGUUUGUAUGAAGAUGGGCCCACUCCAUUUAUCAAGAAAAUAUAUGGGAUGGUGGGAGAUGCAGAGACUGAUGGGAUCAUCUCAUGGAGUGAGUCUGGGAUGAGUUUUGUGAUCAGGGAUCAGUACAAGUUCUGUGUGGAGAUUCUGCCCAAGCACUUCAAGCACGCCAACUUUAGUAGCUUUAUUCGCCAACUCAACACUUAUGUCAGUAUCUUUUUUUCUUUUCUCGUGAUUCUUGUUUACAAUAUUCCAACCUGUUGCCCCGCGGGGUGUCAUAUAGUUGAACAGUGGCGUUUAAGGCUGGCUGUCUUGAGGUCACGAGUUCGAUUUCCUGGACACUCCGGGAGUAUGUGGGCUACAUGCUCGAAGCACGAGUGGUCGAGUGUGCUAGUAUGUCCACCUGGAUUAGUCGAGGUGCACGGAAGCCGAUCCCUACACCGGUUUAAAAAAAGAGAAAAAAUAUUCCAACCUGUUACCGUAGUUUUAGUGAUUUUGAUAAGUGUUUUUGUUUAGUAUUGUCCUUUUGGUAUUGUUUGAUUGUUGUGCAUGUAUUGGGACCCUGAAGAAAAUAAUAAUAAUAGAGAAAUUUAGUAAAAUUAAAAUUUUAUAUAUGACGUUUGAGAUUAAUUUUUUGUGUAAGUUAAGCCCCCAUUUAUGAAUUUCUGAAUAUGCCGCUGGCUAGACUUGUGGGUUUGAUGGGUUUUGGUAUUGUUUCAUUGUUGUGCAUGUAUCAGACUUGUUGGUUUCAUGGGUUUUUGGACUUUCGGUAUGAUAAUUGUAACAUGGAUUGUUAGAGCCGGAGCUAAAAGGAAUUAUCGCUAAUUUUGAGCUAUUUGAAAUUUAAUGUAAACGCCCUCUUGCUUAGGGUCCGAACCUGUGCAAAACAGUUUAGGAGGAGACUAGGAGCAGGGUGUGUACACAUCUUUGAAUAUACUUGGUUUAGUUCGUUUUUAUAGGAAAGUUUUGUUUGGCUGAAGUUUUACUUACUCGGUUUUGUUAAAUGGGCACUAAUACUCUCUAAUGUGGCGUUUUGCCUUGUCUUUUUGUGGAAUUUGUUCUAGACAAGGGUCAUUCUUAUUUAACUACCUCUCUAUAACUUCAAGGAGAUCGUGUAUACUAGACUCUAGUGUUGAAUAUGCAAAAAGUGUGUGUGUGUGUGUGUACGCAUCUCAUGUGCUGCGGCGGGUAUAUUUGGUUUUGUUUGAUUUUGUGAGUUAUUCCUCCUUUCCACUAUUAUAGUGUUUCAGUUGGGACAUUUGUGUUAAGUUAUUUGAAUCAUAUAACGGUUAAAUAGCCCUACACUAAAAAAAAAAAUAGCCAACAAGGUGUUGGUGCGGUGGUUGAGGUCUCGUACCCCCUUGCAGGAGUUCAGGAGUUUGACUCCCCGGUGUGCGUGUGUAGUCAAUUAGCAAAAAAAAAGGUUAUUUGAAUCAUUUUGUAAGGUGUAAUCUACUAUAUAUGGAGCUUUGUUGGAUGUAUUUGGUGUUUUUCUUUAAAACUUCACAGUGCUUGCUGCUCUAUAUAUAACUGUUUUUUUCUUUUGCUAUCUUUGUUAAAGAAUUUCAAGAAACUCAGUCUAGAGAGGUGGGAAUACGCCAAUGAAGGCUUUCAGAAAGGAAAAGAUCAUCUGUUAAAGAAUAUUAAGAGGAAGAAACACCAACCUGAUCAACAAGUCCCACAGGAUGGAAAGAAUUCACAACUUUCACUUUAUCACGAGAAUCUUAAAAAGGAAGCAGAACUUGAAAAGUUGAAGAGCGAUACCGAGAAGUUGAGAACUGAACUUCUAAUUAUCCAAAAGGAACAGGAGAGUGCUGAUAAUUAUCUGUUAUCUGUUAAAGAGAGGCUAAUAAGAACCGAACACAAGCAACAGCAGAUGUUCAUUUGCAUGGCAAGAGCAUUUAAGAACCCGCUAUUCAACGAGAUUCUCAUGCAGCAGCUCAGGGAAAAAGAAGCACUGGAUACUGCAGGAACUUCAAAGAAACAAAAGCUGAUUGCUCCCCAGUGCAACAAAAGUCUAGUUGAGGCAAUCUAUUAUGCUGGGGGAAGCCAAGCUAAAGAUGACUUCACAAUGAUUGAUACAGAAGCUCAGAAAGCAUAUUUUCAUAAUGAAGCAAAAAACCCCGUUGUUCAGAGCCAAAAGGUUAAUGAAGUGUUGGCUACAAAACCUUCAGAUAUUGCUUUGGACAAUUGUUUGCUGGUAGAAAAUCUAUUGGCUGAUGACGUGGUCUCUGAGACUAAAGCAGCAACAGAACAAGCAAAUGUUCAUUCAAAAGUUGUUCUUGAGUUGGAAGAAUUGAUCACAAAGGUAAGUGCCAAUUGGGAGGUAUCUAUGAAGGAGAUGGUUGAGCAAGCGGUUUGUCUGCAAUCACAGUUCUAGUUGGUAAGAUCUUUAAUUCUCACCGUAAGUAAACAAUUAAGUAUCUAUAAUUCCUCCAAAAUUGUGUAUGUGAUACUAAAGCAUAAGUAACUUUUUAAGAUGGAUUAGAAUUUAAAAAUAUUUCAGUCUUCAAGCUUGUUGAUCGCGUCCUAUCUGCCCUUUUUCUCGAUACUUUGUCAAAUGGGAACAACUAAUGUUGAGCAAGUCAUAUGCAGAAAAGUGAAAAACAAGAAGAGGCCUGGAUAAAUCCCAACAUAGAUUCUUAUUAGUUUGUUUGCAUAUACUACAACUUGCAUGACAAUUAGAAGUUAUCAAGAUCAUCUGACAUGUCUUAAUUCAUUGAGACUCCUACAAGAAUUCUCAGUUGAUUCCCAUAAUCAAGUAAAAAUGUAUAAUGAGCGGUUUCCUUGGGAGAGGGAGGGGUAUUUGUGAUGCAAACUAAUCUGAUAAAUCUUUCCUGUCAUUCAUGUGCAGGACAUUGGAGAACUAUCGCAUACAAAGAUCUUAAGAUAGUUUUAUAAUUGUUCUUAGAAGAAAUCACAACUCCCAACAACCCCAGGUUUGAGCUUUAUGCUAUUUCGGCCCUUUUGCCUUCCUGGAGGUUUCGCAUUAUGUAGUAGUUAGAAUAUAGUGUGGUUAUGUACAUAAACUUUGUAAUUUUCUUUUGUGAUUCUCAGUUUUCUAAAGUGUUUUUUAAGGUUCCUUUUGUUCUUUUAUCAUAAAGACCGUUCUCUGGUAGUUAUAAAAUCAUAAUACUUUCAAAUAUUACGACAUUUGCUCUUCAGGAUCAUUGCUUAUUUUCAGCUCCUUGCUAAUAACGCUUUUUAUUACACAUUCAAUGCAACUUUUGAAUCCUAAACUGAAGCUGCCCGCUUGUUAUAUACGCUCACAGAAACCUCAGGCGAUGUAUCCUCCAUUCCUCCAUUUUACGCGCAGACCUGUCUGAGAGGUUGCACGUUUGCCACUGCAGUUGUUGCAAGUCUGCAUAACCUCCCACCCAUGUAUAAACUCUAGACAGGCAAUAUAGCUGUCCUGCAUCUACUAAUUCCACUAUAAUGCAACUCAAUUUAAGAAAGAUGUGAUUAUAAAUAAAUCUCACACUAUAUUAAUGCAGGUAUCAACUGACAACAUUUGUGAUUUAAACUGAAGAGUACAAAGGCUUCUUCCUCCUUAUCAAGAAACAAUAGGCAUUUGGAAGCCAAAAUACAAUCUGUUUAAAUCUUUGAGUAGCAAGAGAAACAGGAACAUCUUUCAAACUAUAGAAAGGCAUACCAUCAAUCUUUCUUGUGACUUCCAGGUGAGCAAACUUUUUCUAGCCCUUUGCCAAGAGGUCCAAGACAGUCAUAAAUAUCGCUUUUCUUCUUGGGUGAGACAUCACUUCUCUUGUCGGGUGACAAUACAGGGCCACCAGAUUCUUUCUUAUGGUGAAUCGUAUCGAUAAGGGCCUCAAACUCUUCCUUUGCACGCUCAAACACGUUAGGACCUUUGAAAUCAU
This 5983-nucleotide long non-coding RNA is filed under the name Daucus carota (carrot). RNAcentral's name for it is "long non-coding RNA (DCAR_LNC006801)". The record is from RNAcentral. Lineage: Eukaryota; Viridiplantae; Streptophyta; Magnoliopsida; Apiales; Apiaceae.